This 305-nucleotide ribosomal RNA is filed under the name uncultured bacterium. RNAcentral's name for it is "bacterial SSU rRNA". It matches the Rfam family "Bacterial small subunit ribosomal RNA", at positions 333 to 635 of the family's 1533-position model. The record is from RNAcentral.
AAUUACCUACGGGGGGCAGCAGUGAGGAAUAUUGGUCAAUGGACGGAAGUCUGAACCAGCCAUGCCGCGUGCAGGAAGACGGCUCUAUGAGUUGUAAACUGCUUUUGUAGAAGGGUAAACCUGAAUACGUGUAUUCAGCUGAAAGUACUGUACGAAUAAGGAUCGGCUAACUCCGUGCCAGCAGCCGCGGUAAUACGGAGGGUGCGAGCGUUAAUCGGAAUUACUGGGCGCAAAGCGCUCGUAGGCGGGAUGUCAAGUCCAGGGUGAAAUCCCCGCGCUCAACGGGGGACCUGCCUUUGAAACUG